Molecule: ribosomal RNA, 300 nt
Filed under: uncultured bacterium
Lineage: Bacteria
Description: bacterial SSU rRNA
Rfam family: Bacterial small subunit ribosomal RNA
Source: RNAcentral
AUUAACGCUGGCGGCAUGCCUAAUACAUGCAAAUCGAACGAAGCCUUUUGGCUUAGUGGUGAACGGGUGAGUAACACGUAUCCAAUCUACCCUUAAGUUUGGGAUAACUAGUCGAAAGAUUAGCUAAUACCGGAUAAUAACAUUCACUUGCAUGAGUGAAUGUGGAAAGUUGCGUUUGCAACGCUUUUGGAUGAGGGUGCGACGUAUCAGAUAGUUGGUGAGGUAACGGCUCACCAAGUCAUUGACGCGUAGCUGUACUGAGAGGUAGAACAGCCACAAUGGGACUGAGACACGGCCCAU